UUAGGAAUCUUCCACAAUGGGCGAAAGCCUGAUGGAGCGACGCCGCGUGAGGGAUGAAGGCCUUAGGGUUGUAAACCUCUAAAAGAGGGACGAUAAUGACGGUACCUCUUGAAUAGCACCGGCUAACUCCGUGCCAGCGGCCGCGGUAAUACGGAGGGUGCAAGCGUUAUCCGGAAUCACUGGGCGUAAAGGGCGCGUAGGCGGUCUGUUAAGUCCGAUGUUAAAUCCCGGGGCUCAACCCCGGAUAAGCGUUGGAUACUGGCAGGCUAGACGGUUGGAGAGGCGAGUGGAAUUACCAGUGUAGCGGUGGAAUGCGUAGAUACUGGUAGGAACACCCAUUGCGAAGGCAGCUCGCUGGACAACACGUGACGCUGAGGCGCGAAAGUGUGGGGAGCAAACC
RNAcentral lists this ribosomal RNA (400 nucleotides) under uncultured bacterium. RNAcentral describes it as "bacterial SSU rRNA". It matches the Rfam family "Bacterial small subunit ribosomal RNA", at positions 355 to 774 of the family's 1533-position model. The record is from RNAcentral.